UGUCGGUGGGAGAAAUCGACUUGGCUUUUUAUUUCUAUCAGUCAGUCUUUUUCUCUCUCCUAUA
Molecule: microRNA precursor, 64 nt
Filed under: Danaus plexippus plexippus
Lineage: Eukaryota; Metazoa; Arthropoda; Insecta; Lepidoptera; Nymphalidae
Description: mir-14 microRNA precursor family
Rfam family: mir-14 microRNA precursor family
Source: Rfam by way of RNAcentral